This is a long non-coding RNA of Cotesia glomerata, 331 nucleotides long. RefSeq lists it as uncharacterized. The transcript is spliced from 3 exons. The record is from RefSeq and is a predicted model, not a curated record. Lineage: Eukaryota; Metazoa; Arthropoda; Insecta; Hymenoptera; Braconidae.
UCCGUUCAAAACAGAACUGGACUGCUGGACAAGGACGAGUUCAUGCGAGGAUCUCUGGGCCUCGAAAAACUUGGGCAUUCCCAAAAUUACUAUUUAGGGGGAAAACAGUACCCAGUUAGUUGCCUAGGCUUCUUUUCCUUAGCUUCUACCCUCUCUUCCGGGUUUUUCCGAAGAUGUUCGCUUGAACUCCCCUCUUCGGGCCCAGAGGGCACGCUAUCCCUCUCUUUCUAACUUAUAGACUAUAUAUGCAUCUAUGAAUCGGUGUACACGUAAACACAUUUACAUGCACACAUCAAUACACAUAUACACACUUUCCUUAUCUUAAACUAAA